Molecule: ribosomal RNA, 253 nt
Filed under: uncultured bacterium
Lineage: Bacteria
Description: partial 16S ribosomal RNA
Rfam family: Bacterial small subunit ribosomal RNA
Source: RNAcentral
AACAGAGGGUGCGAGCGUUAAUCGAAAUUACUGGGCGUAAAGGGUGCGUAGGCGGAUGUUUAAGUUAGAUGUGAAAGCCCUGGGCUUAACCUAGGAAUGGCGUUUAAUACUGAGCAUCUAGAGUAUAGGAGAGGAGAGUGGAAUUUCCGGUGUAGCGGUGAAAUGCGUAGAUAUCGGAAGGAACAUCGGUGGCGAAGGCGGCUCUCUGGACUGAUACUGACGCUGAGGCACGAAAGCGUGGGGAUCAAACAGG